RNAcentral lists this long non-coding RNA (631 nucleotides) under Fragaria vesca (wild strawberry). RNAcentral describes it as "long non-coding RNA (FVES_LNC000515)". The record is from RNAcentral. Lineage: Eukaryota; Viridiplantae; Streptophyta; Magnoliopsida; Rosales; Rosaceae.
GGAUUUGUGAAGGGAACUUGAUUUCUCCUGCUCUCCUAAAGCUAUCGUUCACCGUCAAAACUGCAAAUGACGAUGAAACGAGAAGACGAUAGUAGAACACUAAUUUUGGUCAUCUUACUCGCCGUGCUCAUUUAUUCUGGCUCGGUUCACUCCUGCGACUUUGCAAGCUCUCCCUCGCCUUCACCGGUGAGUUGUUCCAACACUCUUCACUAAUCAAACAUCAAAACAUGUUUCUCAAACAACAACAAAAACAUGGCUCUUUGCUCUUCAUUGUCUUGGAGAAAAUAUGACUACUCGUUUCUUUAUCUGUAGGCCAUUGCGAUUCCAUGACCGUCUGAGCCAUAGGCAUUUGCCGCAUUUACAAAAAGAAAAGCAGAGGGUCUUUCCCUGCGACUUGUUACUCAAAAUGUAAUCAGUUGGAGGCUUGGAGCCAUACAUGCCAGUUCAAGUCUCAGUCCGGGCAAUGGAUUUGGAAGAAAACGAGUACUAUCCACUGGUAUGGAAAUGUGUUUGUGGUGAAUGGUGAUAAUAUAUUUCCCCUUAGUUUAACUUUUAGUAUUACUGUUAUGCGGUGAGAAGUUGUCAUCUCACAAUAACAGUGAUGUAAGAAGUUUUCAUUGAUUUCCAAAAA